AGAGAGCAUGCUGAGAAAUUGAUGAAAUACCAGAACAAAAGGGGCGGAAAAGUGAAGCUGCAGUCUAUAGUAAUGCCCCUUUCGGAAUUUGAUCAUGUGGAAAAAGGAGAUGCAUUGUAUGGUGAGUUUUGAUUUAACUUUUUUGUAUCUAAAUAUGAAAAGCGCUACACCAAGUUGAUGGAAUUUUGAUUUAUAAAGGCCUUGUUUUCUAUGUAAGAUGCAUUCUGCAGUCUAUGUUUUUUAAUGGAUUGUUGAAAGUUACAAAGACUAUUAUUUGUCUCUUUUCCUCUAGCAUUGCUGUGCAAUUGAAAAACCAGUGAAUGAGUUGAGAUCCUUGCUGUAUUAAAUUGUUGUCUUGUGAAGUGUUGUUAUCUUUUUAGUUGGCACUAACUUGAUAAACUUUCUUUGUUCAGCAAUGGAGCUUACUUUGUCUCUGGAAAAAUUAACAA
Molecule: unclassified non-coding RNA, 449 nt
Filed under: Hevea brasiliensis (rubber tree)
Lineage: Eukaryota; Viridiplantae; Streptophyta; Magnoliopsida; Malpighiales; Euphorbiaceae
Source: RNAcentral